RNAcentral lists this ribosomal RNA (499 nucleotides) under uncultured bacterium. RNAcentral's name for it is "SSU rRNA". It matches the Rfam family "Bacterial small subunit ribosomal RNA", at positions 26 to 524 of the family's 1533-position model. The record is from RNAcentral.
AGAAUAAACGCUGGCGGCGUGCCUAACACAUGCAAGUCGAGCGAGAAAGUUCCUUCGGGAGCUAGUACAGCGGCGAACGGGUGAGUAACGCGUAAGAAUCUACCGUUUAGUGGAGAAUACCCUCGAGAAAUCGAGGUUAAUACUGCAUAAGUCCCUUCGGGGAGAAAGAUGGCCUCUUUGCUAUCGCUAGAUGAGGAGCUUGCGUACUAUUAGCUAGUUGGUAGGGUAAAGGCCUACCAAGGCGAUGAUGGUUAGCCGGCCUGAGAGGGUGUUCGGCCACACUGGAACUUAGACACGGUCCAGACUCCUACGGGAGGCAGCAGUGAGGAAUCUUGCACAAUGGGCAAAGCCUGAUGCAGCGACGCCGCGUGGAGGAUGAAGGCUUUAGGGUCGUAAACUCCUGUUAAGUGGGAAGAAAGGCUUAUCCCUAAUAUGGAUAAGCGAUGACGGUACCAUUAGAGAAAGCACCGGCUAACUUCGUGCCAGCAGCCGCGGUAAU